AUUGAACGCUGGCGGCAUGCUUUGCACAUGCAAGUCGAACGGCAGCGGGGGCUUCGGCCUGCCGGCGAGUGGCGAACGGGUGAGUAAUGCAUCGGAACGUGCCCAUGUCGUGGGGGAUAACGUAUCGAAAGGUACGCUAAUACCGCAUACGCUCUGAGGGGGAAAGCGGGGGAUUCUUCGGAACCUCGCGCGAUUGGGGCGGCCGGUGUCGGAUUAGCUAGUAGGGGAGGUAAAGGCUCACCUAGGCGACGAUCCGUAGCGGGUCUGAGAGGAUGAUCCGCCACACUGGGACUGAGACACGGCCCAGACUCCUACGGGAGGCAGCAGUGGGGAAUUUUGGACAAUGGGCGCAAGCCUGAUCCAGCCAUGCCGCGUGAGUGAAGAAGGCCUUCGGGUUGUAAAGCUCUUUCGGCCGGGAAGAAAUCGCAUUCUCUAAUAUAGGAUGUGGAUGACGGUACCGGACUAAGAAGCACCGGCUAACUACGUGCCAGCAGCCGCCGUAA
This 503-nucleotide ribosomal RNA is filed under the name uncultured bacterium. Its description in RNAcentral is "partial 16S ribosomal RNA". It matches the Rfam family "Bacterial small subunit ribosomal RNA", at positions 28 to 523 of the family's 1533-position model. The record is from RNAcentral.